This is a microRNA precursor of Vicugna pacos (alpaca), 98 nucleotides long. The record is from Ensembl. NCBI's taxonomy places the organism in Eukaryota, Metazoa, Chordata, Mammalia, Artiodactyla, Camelidae.
UUGUAGUGUGUGUGUGUGUGUGUAUCACAUAUACACAUAAACAUAUAUAUAUAUACACACAUACACAUACAAAAUAUAUUAUAAAUGUAUACAAUGGA